Molecule: ribosomal RNA, 428 nt
Filed under: uncultured prokaryote
Description: bacterial SSU rRNA
Rfam family: Bacterial small subunit ribosomal RNA
Source: RNAcentral
UGAGGAAUAUUGCGCAAUGGGGGCAACCCUGACGCAGCGACGCCGCGUGAGUGAGGAAGGCCUUCGGGUCGUAAAGCUCUGUCAAAGGGAAAGAAGUGUGCAAUGGCUAAUACCUGUUGCAUUUGACGGUACCCUUAAAGGAAGCACCGGCUAACUCCGUGCCAGCAGCCGCGGUAAUACGGAGGGUGCAAGCGUUGUUCGGAAUCACUGGGCGUAAAGGGCGCGCAGGCGGUUUGAUAAGUCAGAUGUGAAAGCCCAUGGCUCAACCUGGGAAGUGCAUUGGAAACUGGCAGACUUGAAUACGGGAGAGGGUAGUGGAAUUCCUGGUGUAGGAGUGAAAUCCGUAGAUAUCAGGAGGAACACCGGUGGCGAAGGCGGCUGCCUGGACCGAUAUUGACGCUGAGACGCGAAAGCGUGGGUAGCAAACA